ACGUGGAUGAUGUUGGCUGGGCAGGCAUUUGUUGCUCAUCCCUAGUUGACCUUGAGAAGAUAUUGGAGCAAGAUGCCCUCAGUUGGGCAGAAAGACUCAACAGCUCAGACUGCUAAUAAGGUAUUUAGCAAGCAAUACUGAGCAUCAGUUGGGUACUCACAGCUGCCGAGCAAAAAGCUUGCCACAGAAGAAACUCAUCAGUCAAAUAAGAUGCAGCAAGAGACUCAAGCACCCAGAAAUACAGACAAAUGGCUCACAGUUUGUUAAAUGAAUAUGUAAAUUAUUAAUUAGUGGUGCCUCUCAAGAUAUAACUCAAGAAACUCCUUGCUCAGUUCAACAAACAGCUAUGAAGAAUACAAAGAACAGUCUAUAACGUAUGAAGAGGAUUCAUU
Molecule: long non-coding RNA, 392 nt
Organism: Hemiscyllium ocellatum (epaulette shark)
Lineage: Eukaryota; Metazoa; Chordata; Chondrichthyes; Orectolobiformes; Hemiscylliidae
Exons: 4
Source: RefSeq, a predicted model, not a curated record